RNAcentral lists this ribosomal RNA (253 nucleotides) under uncultured bacterium. RNAcentral describes it as "partial 16S ribosomal RNA". It matches the Rfam family "Bacterial small subunit ribosomal RNA", at positions 524 to 776 of the family's 1533-position model. The record is from RNAcentral.
UACGUAGGUGGCAAGCGUUGUCCGGAUUUACUGGGCGUAAAGAGCGCGCAGGCGGUCGCUCAAGUCGCGUGUGAAAGCCCCCGGCUCAACUGGGGAGGGUCACGCGAUACUGAUCGACUCGAAGGCAGGAGAGGGUAGUGGAAUUCCCGGUGUAGUGGUGAAAUGCGUAGAUAUCAGGAAGAACACCAAUGGCGAAGGCAGCUCUCUGGGACGGUACUGACGCUGAGACGCGAAAGCGUGGGGAGCGAACAGG